Molecule: long non-coding RNA, 1131 nt
Organism: Heterocephalus glaber (naked mole-rat)
Lineage: Eukaryota; Metazoa; Chordata; Mammalia; Rodentia; Bathyergidae
Source: Ensembl
GUCAUGGGGUGGGGGUGGGGCAGAUGGGAAAAGUGAGGGGAGCCAGAAGCCAGCUCACCCUGCGAGGCCUGGAGUCAACAACACAAUAUCUUAAUCUACAACCAUAACCACGGCAAUCUCCACUUAAACUGAAAUUACUACCAUAAUGAGAAAAAAAAACACAACCAAAACAAACAACAAAAAUAUUCGACCAGCCUUUCAAAUGAACCUUCUAUGACAAUGCAUAGUGACACCUCUCUGACCAAACAUACACUUCAGUUGAGCACAAUACCACCCAGUAUCUAAAACUCUGACAAAAGUUACACCUAGCAUUACUGCAGACCUUCAACAAUAACCACCUCUGUGGAACAUAACUCCAGAACCCACAUUAUAACUUUUUCUCUAUCAUAAUGGGUAGAUGCUGGAAUCCAUUUAACUAUGGCUACUGAACUUAUGACUACAACAGAAACAAACACUCCCACUGACUCUGAAAACACUUUCUACUGAACUGCUAUAAUUAUACCCACCUCAUUCAUUUGAAAUUACAACAAAUGGCAUCAGGCCCACCUUAUCCACUGAAACUAAAAGCACAAUAAUUUGUAGUAGGCAUAUUCUGGCUAGAGAUAGCAGAACCACUUCUGGAGAAACUACAAGCAAAACAACUCCAACUCCGUCUUCUGCUGAGCCCUUAACCACAGCACCAGCUGUCACCAAACUGAACCUCAACCCCCAAUUCUUCUGAGACAACAACCAAGGCAGCUAUUCCCACUCACAUUACAUCUACAGCUACCACUCUCUGGAAAGGCACAAAACGAGGACCAAAGCUUCAGAUGCAUUCCUUAAACACAUUAUCAACGGUGAUGAUGAUGGUGAUGAUGAUGAUGCUGACGGUGAUACUGAUGAGGGUGAAAACGAUGAGCUGAGCUGUACUAUAUGGACGGAAGGUGCCUCCAUAAGAAAGGCCUGGUUUGUCUUGUUUGGGUAGCCUCUGUCAGAAACCGCAAAAGGUUCCUGAAUGGCUGAUCCAAGAAUCAAAAGAUCUAGUGCUUUUCCUGGCUCCUCAAAGGGACUAAGGCCAUGAGGCCAGAAUCUGUGAAAUUUACAAUGUAACAUCCUCAACAUUCAAGCUCAAUGUCUGGCAUAUAACGGGAA